This 786-nucleotide ribosomal RNA is filed under the name Necator sp. HH-2015. RNAcentral describes it as "SSU rRNA". It matches the Rfam family "Eukaryotic small subunit ribosomal RNA", at positions 1016 to 1831 of the family's 1831-position model. Lineage: Eukaryota; Metazoa; Nematoda; Chromadorea; Rhabditida; Ancylostomatidae. The record is from RNAcentral.
CGCCCUAGUUCUGACCGUAAACUAUGCCAUCUAGCGAUCCGAUGGGGUAUUGUUGCCUUGUCGAGGAGCUUCCCGGAAACGAAAGUCUUUCGGUUCCUGGGGUAGUAUGGUUGCAAAGCUGAAACUUAAAGAAAUUGACGGAAUGGCACCACCAGGAGUGGAGCCUGCGGCUUAAUUUGACUCAACACGGGAAAACUCACCCGGCCCGGACACCGUAAGGAUUGACAGAUUGAAAGCUCUUUCUCGAUUUGGUGGUUGGUGGUGCAUGGCCGUUCUUAGUUGGUGGAGCGAUUUGUCUGGUUUAUUCCGAUAACGAGCGAGACUCUAGCCUGCUAAAUAGUGGCUGGAUUUUUACGUCCAGUCUACUUCUUAGAGGGAUAAGCGGUGUUUAGCCGCACGAGAUUGAGCGAUAACAGGUCUGUGAUGCCCUUAGAUGUCCGGGGCUGCACGCGCGCUACAAUGGAAGAAUCAGCUGGCCUAUCCAUUGCCGAAAGGCAUUGGUAAACCGUUGAAACUCUUCCGUGACCGGGAUAGGGAAUUGUAAUUAUUUCCCUUGAACGAGGAAUUCCUAGUAAGUGUGAGUCAUCAGCUCACGCUGAUUACGUCCCUGCCAUUUGUACACACCGCCCGUCGCUGUCCGGGACUGAGCUGUCUCGAGAGGACUGCGGACUGCUGUCGCGAGGCCUUCGGGUCGCGUUAUGGCGGGAAACAGUUCAAUCGCAAUGGCUUGAACCGGGUAAAAGUCGUAACAAGGUAUCUGUAGGUGAACCUGCAGAUGGAUCAUCG